GAUGAACGCUGGCGGCAUGCCUUACACAUGCAAGUCGAACGGCCGCAUGACCUGGCUUCCUAGGUUGAUUGCGCGUGGCGAGCGGGUGAGUAAUGCAGCGGACCGUCCUUUUUGACUGGGGUAAACGUGGGAAACGUUACGCAAAUACCGCAUAUUCUCUGAGGCGGAAAGCAGAGGACCUUCAGGCCUUCCGCUUGACACGUGGCCGAUGUCGGAUUAGCUAGUUGGUGAGGUAAAGGCUCACCAAGGCAACGAUCCGUAGCGGGCCUGAGAGGAUGAUCCGCCACACUGGGACUGAGACACGGUCCAGACUCCUACGGGAGGCAGCAGUGGGGAAUUUUGGGCAAUGGGCGCAAGCCUGAUCCAGCCAUGCCGCGUGAGUGAAGAAGGCCUUCGGGUUGUAAAGCUCUUUCGGCUGGGAAGAAAACGCACCCUAUAAUCCAGGGUGUGCAUGACGGUACCAGCAGAAGAAGCACCGGCUAACUACGUG
This 490-nucleotide ribosomal RNA is filed under the name uncultured bacterium. Its description in RNAcentral is "partial 16S ribosomal RNA". It matches the Rfam family "Bacterial small subunit ribosomal RNA", at positions 28 to 507 of the family's 1533-position model. The record is from RNAcentral.